UACGUAGGGUGCAAGCGUUAAUCGGAAUUACUGGGCGUAAAGCGUGCGCAGGCGGUUAUGCAAGACAGAUGUGAAAUCCCCGGGCUCAACCUGGGAACUGCAUUUGUGACUGCAUAGCUAGAGUGCGGCAGAGGGAGAUGGAAUUCCGCGUGUAGCAGUGAAAUGCGUAGAGAUGUGGAGGAACACCGGAUGGCGAAGGCAGCCCCCUGGGUCAAGAUUGACGCUCAUGCACGAAAGCGUGGGGAGCAAACAGG
This 254-nucleotide ribosomal RNA is filed under the name uncultured bacterium. RNAcentral describes it as "partial 16S ribosomal RNA". It matches the Rfam family "Bacterial small subunit ribosomal RNA", at positions 524 to 776 of the family's 1533-position model. The record is from RNAcentral.